This 443-nucleotide ribosomal RNA is filed under the name uncultured bacterium. Its description in RNAcentral is "partial 16S ribosomal RNA". It matches the Rfam family "Bacterial small subunit ribosomal RNA", at positions 338 to 795 of the family's 1533-position model. The record is from RNAcentral.
CCUACGGGUGGCAGCAGUGGGGAAUAUUGGACAAUGGGGGGAACCCUGAUCCAGCGACGCCGCGUGAGUGAAGAAGUAUUUCGGUAUGUAAAGCUCUAUCAGCAGGGAAGAAAGAAAUGACGGUACCUGACUAAGAAGCCCCGGCUAACUACGUGCCAGCAGCCGCGGUAAUACGUAGGGGGCAAGCGUUAUCCGGAUUUACUGGGUGUAAAGGGAGCGUAGACGGCGAUGCAAGUCUGAAGUGAAAGGCGGGGGCCCAACCCCCGGACUGCUUUGGAAACUGUAUGGCUUGAGUGCAGGGGAGGUAAGUGGAAUUCCUAGUGUAGCGGUGAAAUGCGUAGAUAUUAGGAGGAACACCAGUUGCGAAGGCGGCUUACUGGACUGUAACUGACGUUGAGGCUCGAAAGCGUGGGGAGCAAACAGGAUUAGAUACCCCGGUAGUC